This 24-nucleotide non-coding RNA is filed under the name Cricetulus griseus (Chinese hamster). The record is from RNAcentral. Lineage: Eukaryota; Metazoa; Chordata; Mammalia; Rodentia; Cricetidae.
UGAAUUGUAGCAGUGAAUUGGAUU